Molecule: long non-coding RNA, 2552 nt
Organism: Mustela lutreola (European mink)
Lineage: Eukaryota; Metazoa; Chordata; Mammalia; Carnivora; Mustelidae
Exons: 2
Source: RefSeq, a predicted model, not a curated record
GGGGGGCAAGGCCAAGACGGGGCUGGGGGAGGGGGUGAACUUUUAAAGAUUCAACACUGGUGUACAUACGUCUGACCCGGUGAGCGGACCUGUGGCGUCGCACAGUGAUUCUGGGCCCUUUGUGCUUGCUGUCUCAGAAUUGUUUUCUUACCUUUUCGAUGUAAUGACGAGUGUGCUUCGGUUUCUUUAGCAAAACCACUCUCUUGAAUCACGUUAACCUUUGAGAUUAAAAAAAAAAAAAAAAAACACAAAAACCAACAAAAAACACGCCAUAGCACAGCUGUCUUUAUGCAAGCAAGAGCACAUCUACUCCAGCAUGAUCUGUCAUCUAAAGACUUGAAAACAACAACAAAAAAAAUUACUUAUAGUCAAUGGUUAACAUCACUUUACUGUUCCAGUGCCACGAAGGGAGAGGGUUUUGACUCUGUUGGGUUUUAUCGAACGGGUACAUAACAGUAACUUCUGAAACACCGAUUUUGUGAAGAAAAAGAGGUGUGUUGGUCUCCUUCCCGUGUUCCUACAAACUCCCACUAACAGGUGCAAGAGUUAUGUAAAGAAGGAAGAGGAAGCUGACAUGUGAAAAGAAAAAUAUAUCCCCGUAAGUAGUGAGCCCCAAGGGAAAAUACCAUGAGGAUUAUCCAAGGUGACUUCGAAAUGGUCCCUUUUGGAGAACAGAGGCACACGAAAUGCAUGUGAUUGAAGACACAUCACUGUAUCUUUGACAUCAGAAGCCUCACCACUAUGUAUCUUGUAUCCAGGUGUCUACAAUGGCCUAAACCACUACAUCCAUAAAAUGCCAUUUACCUGAAAACUUAAUUUUGGCCUUCACGUGGUCAGAAAAAACUGAACUGUUUUCAUAGCAAAGAAACCUCAAGUACAGGGAGUCAGCAGUGACUGUGGGAGAAAUGUUUACAUUUUCUUUUGUCAGAAAGAAUGCUUUCUGGCAAUUUUAUCUGCUAUUUAACACAGGGAGCUACGGUGCACUCUCGUUUAUACAUGUGCUAUAAGCUGUGUCGUGUAAACUUAGGGUGCCUCCCCGUCAGUGAACUCGUGAUUUCACCCAACACAUGCUCGUUGCCAGGUUCAGAACCGGUGUGGGCUCCUACAGCAGGCGUGGGGCACGGCUGACUCCGACUUCCAAUACAACAGCCAUCACUAGCACGGUGUUUUUCUUUUUUGUUUGUUUAACCAAUGUAGUUGUAUCAGUAGUUCUAUAAAGAGAACUGCUUUUAACAUUAGGGACUGGGAACAGUCCAUUGAGAUAAAAAGGAAAGUGUUUUCUCACGGGAAAACAUGUCAGGAAAAAUAAAGAACACUUUCUACCUCUGUUUCAGAUUUUUGAAACGCUUAUUUUAAACCAAAUUUUAAUUUCUGUGUCCAAAAUAAGUUUUAAGGACAUCUGUUCUUCCAUACGAAAUAGGUUAGGCUGUCUAUUUCUUACUGAGCUCACGGAACGGUCCUGCUUGUGAUCCUUUGCAUGCUGCCUUUUAGUGAGUGAGGAGUUUGGGGCUGCCUAGCAACCCACCAACUUGGACAAACUCAUCUUCCCCUCACAGAAAGAAAUUUAAGGAAAACCAAGCAAAGUCAGUGAAAGACAAUCUUUGUAGUUUCAAGAGUAAAUCUAUAUGUGGCUUUUGUCCCGCACUUACUUAGAUGGAUAUAAACGCAGCAACUUGUUUAAAAAAAAAAAAAAUGCACAAUUUAACUUCCCCAAAAAAAAAAAAGUUGUUACUUGCCUUUUCAAGUUGUUGAAGAACACACAUUUGAUAUUCUCUUAUAUGUUAUAGUAACGUAACGUAUAAACUCAAGGCUUUUUAUUCUUCGUGAUAAAUCCUGUUUUCAAAUGUCACGAAACAGGAACCAGCAUUCUAAUUAGAUUUACUCUAUCAAGAUAUGGUUCAAAUAGGACUACUAGAGUUCAUUGAACACUAAAACUAUGAAGCAAUUACUUUUUAUAUUAAAAAGACCAUGGAUUUAACUUGUAAAAAUCCAAAUGCAGGAUAGUAAUUUUUGUUUACUUUUUUAACCAAACUGAAUUUUUUUGAAAGACUCUUGCAGGUGUUUAAAAAGAAAGACAAGUCGUUUUAUCUAAUACUGUAAGUAGUUGUCAUAUUCUGGAAAAUUUAAUAGUUUUAGAGUUAAGAUAACUCCUCUCCUUGGUUAGGGAAGAAGAAAGCCCUUCACCGCUUUGGAAUGACGCCCUGGCUUUAAGGUCUGGCUUUACAUCAUGCUUCUUUUGAGAAUUAUAUUUGGUAGUCAUGUUACAGAAAUUGGUUACUCGUCACUUCGCAGGUAGACUUAGCACAGCACUCAUCACUCUGGAUAGACCGAGAUGUUCUUUCACCGCAGAUGAAUGAUCUGUAACACUGUAAGAUACUGAUCUUUACAACUGUUUAAUCAGUUUUAUUUUUGUACAGUAUUAGUGACCUAAGUUAUUUUGUUGUCCCGUUUUGUAAAUCAAAUGAAAUUAUAAAAGAGGAUUCUGACAGUAGGUAUUUUGUACAUAUGUAUAUACGUUGUCCAAAUAAAAGGAAUAAAUGACAAAGAUGAAA